RNAcentral lists this unclassified non-coding RNA (513 nucleotides) under Bombus terrestris (buff-tailed bumblebee). Its description in RNAcentral is "misc RNA ENSBTSG00005028382.1". The record is from RNAcentral. Lineage: Eukaryota; Metazoa; Arthropoda; Insecta; Hymenoptera; Apidae.
CGAAGCUUUUACCUCUUCGUAUCUCUUUACCUCCUUCCAGCUCGUAUUCUUUUCCUACUUCGCGUCUUAUCAAUAAGAUACCGUUUUAUGAUAUUUCUCGAGUAGCUGCCGUUAUCGAAUAGCCCUGAAAAGAGAAAAUAAUACUCGAAGCACAGAGGCUGAGCUCGAUGGCGCGAAAUAAAUUUCUCUUUCCUACGACGAGAUUUACUGCAACCAGUUUCAAGCUGCGAGUGAAAAGUUUCUAGAGAACGAACGUGCAGAUUGACAAGUUUAUAAAAUGGGAUCUAAUAAGAACUACACCCAGCUCAUCGACAAAGUCGAAAGCCUAACCGAGCCCCGCCGGCAGGAUGACGGGUCAGUCGAAUCUACCCCUCGGAUCGGCACUGUGAACGCAUUUAAAUUCGCGAUUAAUCUCGAUGCGGAGACGUGGCAGCGAUAACGCUCAUUAUCUGGCCCAGGGCAGCGGCGCGAAUUUAUUUUCGGCGUUGGCUGCACGCAGGAAAACAGUGACCG